Molecule: long non-coding RNA, 476 nt
Organism: Dromaius novaehollandiae (emu)
Lineage: Eukaryota; Metazoa; Chordata; Aves; Casuariiformes; Dromaiidae
Exons: 4
Source: RefSeq, a predicted model, not a curated record
UUGGCGGCCGGCGGCGCAUGCGCGGCAGCAGGGAGCGCGAUGGCGGCGAGCAGGGCGGGUGUUUUGGCUGGGCGGCGGCGGGCGAGGGCAGAGGCCGCCUGGAGUCGAGCAUGUGGGGGCCCUGGGCCGCGGUUGCUCCCCAGCGCGGGCCAGGGCGUGCGCUCGCCCCUGCGGACGCAGCCUGGAGGAGUGUGUGGGGGGGUGUCUGCGCGGGGGUCUGGAUGUGUCCAGCAGCGGCACGGCAGCCUGAUGCCUCCUCUCGUCUGGGACGCGGGUUCCUUGGCAGCUCUUCUGGGAUGCGGGGCCCUUGGGUAGUCCACCGAAGGGGGACAUCUCGAAGAGAAGCAGCGAGACCUGGGGAUCCGGUUGUUCGUUUUGGUCGUCGCCUGUGAGGCCAGCAUCCGAGCGUAAGAGGAAUCUAGGCGCUGUCUCGAAAAGAGAUGGCACCAAGGACAGCAAAUGCUGACAAAGAAAAG